This 1272-nucleotide ribosomal RNA is filed under the name Nocardia brasiliensis. RNAcentral describes it as "bacterial SSU rRNA". It matches the Rfam family "Bacterial small subunit ribosomal RNA", at positions 97 to 1382 of the family's 1533-position model. Lineage: Bacteria; Bacillati; Actinomycetota; Actinomycetes; Mycobacteriales; Nocardiaceae. The record is from RNAcentral.
GGCGAACGGGUGAGGAACAGGAGGGUGAUCUGCCUCGCACUUCGGGAUAAGCCUGGGAAACUGGGUCUAAUACCGGAUAUGACCUUUCAGUGCAUGCUGUUGGGUGGAAAGAUUUAUCGGUGCGAGAUGGGCCCGCGGCCUAUCAGCUUGUUGGCGGGGUAACGGCCCACCAAGGCGACGACGGGUAGCCGACCUGAGAGGGUGACCGGCCACACUGGGACUGAGACACGGCCCAGACUCCUACGGGAGGCAGCAGUGGGGAAUAUUGCACAAUGGGCGGAAGCCUGAUGCAGCGACGCCGCGUGAGGGAUGACGGCCUUCGGGUUGUAAACCUCUUUCGACAGGGACGAAGCGCAAGUGACGGUACCUGUAGAAGAAGCACCGGCCAACUACGUGCCAGCAGCCGCGGUAAUACGUAGGGUGCGAGCGUUGUCCGGAAUUACUGGGCGUAAAGAGCUUGUAGGCGGUUUGUCGCGUCGUCCGUGAAAACUUGGGGCUCAACCCCAAGCUUGCGGGCGAUACGGGCAGACUUGAGUACUUCAGGGGAGACUGGAAUUCCUGGUGUAGCGGUGAAAUGCGCAGAUAUCAGGAGGAACACCGGUGGCGAAGGCGGGUCUCUGGGAAGUAACUGACGCUGAGAAGCGAAAGCGUGGGUAGCGAACAGGAUUAGAUACCCUGGUAGUCCACGCCGUAAACGGUGGGUACUAGGUGUGGGUUUCCUUCCACGGGAUCCGUGCCGUAGCUAACGCAUUAAGUACCCCGCCUGGGGAGUACGGCCGCAAGGCUAAAACUCAAAGGAAUUGACGGGGGCCCGCACAAGCGGCGGAGCAUGUGGAUUAAUUCGAUGCAACGCGAAGAACCUUACCUGGGUUUGACAUACACCGGAAACCUGCAGAGAUGUAGGCCCCCUUGUGGUCGGUGUACAGGUGGUGCAUGGCUGUCGUCAGCUCGUGUCGUGAGAUGUUGGGUUAAGUCCCGCAACGAGCGCAACCCUUGUCCUGUGUUGCCAGCGCGUAAUGGCGGGGACUCGCAGGAGACUGCCGGGGUCAACUCGGAGGAAGGUGGGGACGACGUCAAGUCAUCAUGCCCCUUAUGUCCAGGGCUUCACACAUGCUACAAUGGCCGGUACAGAGGGCUGCGAUACCGUGAGGUGGAGCGAAUCCCUUAAAGCCGGUCUCAGUUCGGAUCGGGGUCUGCAACUCGACCCCGUGAAGUUGGAGUCGCUAGUAAUCGCAGAUCAGCAACGCUGCGGUGAAUACGUUCCCGGGCCUU